CUGCCCAAGAGACUGGGAUAACACCUGGAAACAGAUGCUAAUACCGGAUAACAACACUAGACGCAUGUCUAGAGUUUGAAAGAUGGUUCUGCUAUCACUCUUGGAUGGACCUGCGGUGCAUUAGCUAGUUGGUAAGGUAACGGCUUACCAAGGCAAUGAUGCAUAGCCGAGUUGAGAGACUGAUCGGCCACAUUGGGACUGAGACACGGCCCAAACUCCUACGGGAGGCAGCAGUAGGGAAUCUUCCACAAUGGACGAAAGUCUGAUGGAGCAACGCCGCGUGAGUGAAGAAGGGUUUCGGCUCGUAAAGCUCUGUUGGUAGUGAAGAAAGAUAGAGGUAGUAACUGGCCUUUAUUUGACGGUAAUUACUUAGAAAGUCACGGCUAACUACGUGCCAGCAGCCGCGGUAAUACGUAGGUGGCAAGCGUUGUCCGGAUUUAUUGGGCGUAAAGCGAGUGCAGGCGGUUCAAUAAGUCUGAUGUGAAAGCCUUCGGCUCAACCGGAGAAUUGCAUCAGAAACUGUUGAACUUGAGUGCAGAAGAGGAGAGUGGAACUCCAUGUGUAGCGGUGGAAUGCGUAGAUAUAUGGAAGAACACCAGUGGCGAAGGCGGCUCUCUGGUCUGCAACUGACACUGAGGCUCGAAAGCAUGGGUAGCGAACAGGAUUAGAUACCCUGGUAGUCCAUGCCGUAAAC
Molecule: ribosomal RNA, 694 nt
Filed under: uncultured bacterium
Lineage: Bacteria
Description: bacterial SSU rRNA
Rfam family: Bacterial small subunit ribosomal RNA
Source: RNAcentral